RNAcentral lists this non-coding RNA (281 nucleotides) under Streptomyces afghaniensis 772. RNAcentral describes it as "Bacterial large subunit ribosomal RNA". It matches the Rfam family "Bacterial large subunit ribosomal RNA", at positions 1612 to 1875 of the family's 2925-position model. Lineage: Bacteria; Bacillati; Actinomycetota; Actinomycetes; Kitasatosporales; Streptomycetaceae. The record is from Rfam by way of RNAcentral.
GAAAAAGCCUCUAGCGAGUUUCAUGGCGGCCCGUACCCUAAACCGACUCAGGUGGUCACGGUAGAGAAUACCGAGGCAUUCGGGUGAACUAUGGUUAAGGAACUCGGCAAAAUGCCCCCGUAACUUCGGGAGAAGGGGGGCCACAUCUGGUGAUGAGCUUUGCGCUCUGAGCUGGGGGUGGCCGCAGAGACCAGCGAGAAGCGACUGUUUACUAAAAACACAGGUCCGUGCGAAGCCGUAAGGCGAUGUAUACGGACUGACGCCUCGCCCGGUGCUGGAAC